This 213-nucleotide ribosomal RNA is filed under the name uncultured bacterium. RNAcentral describes it as "partial 16S ribosomal RNA". It matches the Rfam family "Bacterial small subunit ribosomal RNA", at positions 122 to 334 of the family's 1533-position model. The record is from RNAcentral.
UAACCUGCCUUGGAGUGGGGAAUAACACAGUGAAAAUUGUGCUAAUACCGCAUAAUGCAUUUGGAUCGCAUGGUUCUGAAUGCCAAAGAUUUAUCGCUCUGAGAUGGACUCGCGUCUGAUUAGCUAGUUGGCGGGGCAACGGCCCACCAAGGCGACGAUCAGCAGCCGGACUGAGAGGUUGGCCGGCCACAUUGGGACUGAGACACGGCCCAG